AAAUGGAGGCAGUGAGAGAUUUUACCUUCUUGGGCUCCUUGAUCACUGCAGAUGGUGACAGCAGUCGCGAAAUUAAAAGACACCUGCUUCUUGGGAGAAAAGCAAUGACAAACCUAGACAGCAUCUUAAAAAGCAGAGACAUCACCUUGCUGACAAAGGUCCGUAUAGUUAAAGCUAUGGUUUUCCCAGUAGUGAUGUAUGGAAGUGAGAGCUGGACCAUAAAGAAGGCUGAUCGCCGAAGAAAUGAUGCUUUUGAAUUAUGGUGCUGGAGGAGACUGUUGAGAGUCCCAUGGACUGCAAGAAGAUCAAACCUAUCCAUUCUGAAGGAAAUAAGCCCUGAGUGCUCACUGGAAGGACAGAUCCUGAAGCUGAGGCUCCAAUACUUUGGCCACCUCAUGAGAAGAGAAGAAUCGUUGGAAAAGACCCUGAUGUUGGGAAAGAUGGAGGGCACUAGGAGAAGGGGACGACAGAGGACGAGAUGGUUGGACAGUGUUCUCGAAGCUACCAACAUGAGUUUGCCCAAACUGCGGGAGGCAGUGGAAGACAGGAGUGCCUGGCGUGCUAUGGUCCAUGGGGUCACGAAGAGUCGGACACGACUAAACGACUAAACAACGACAACAACUAUUUCUGGGUUAGUGGAGUCUGUAACCUGAAGCAUCUGUAACCUGAAGUGUAUGUAACCUGAGGUACCACUGUAGUUGAAUUACAGUAAUCAAGCCUUAACCAAGCCAGAGUCCUUCAGAUGUUUUGACCUACAGCUCAUUGUCCCAGACUCCCGGAGGCUGUGCUGACUGGGACCAGUGAGAGCUGUAUUAAAAAAUGUCUGAAGGGCACAAGGUUGGCAUAGGUUGCAUAAUAAUUUCAAAACUUUCCAGGUUGGCUGGCUGAUGCUUUGAGGUUUUAGCAUGACAACCAUGUCAGGGACUCAAAACUAUUACAGAUUAGGGUCACUAUUGUAUAUCCUGUGUACAUGUUUAUUUUGUACACAUGAGGAAAUAAUAAAGUUUAGAGCAGAUAAUGAGCAUUUCUCACAAACACUUUUGAGUAUACCUCCUGUCCACUGAAAAGCACAUAGGUAGUAUUAGAUUACAUUUCUAAAACUGUUGACAUUUCCUUUUUUCUGUUCUUUUAUUUCACUUGCUGUGCCACUUUUGCUUAGUGUCCAGUGCUAGUAGCCUGGAAGGCAACAGGGGCAUGUGGUCAAUCAUUUGUGUGAAUUGAUGGGAAGGUAUUUGUUACCAUAGAUUUAACUAGUCUUAUUCAGACAUGACAUGCAGAUUUCCCUUUUGGUAGAGGAUAACAGUCAUUUUGAGAGACACCCACCCACAAAAGCCACAGACAUGAUGCCUGACUCAAAUCUUUACCCACUGCUUUGCAAUGCAAAACUGGUGGAGUUUUUGGUACUUUCUGAUUAAAGCAAAAGUAUUUUACAGGGGUUUUCCAGCAUCUUAGAUGGUUGCUCAAAAACAAAUCAGCUGAGGUUAGUGGAGGGGGACGGAGACUUUUUUUUUUUGCUUAUCUUUGACGCUCAUUCAAAACAAAAAAGAAAACAACCCCAAAAGAAAUUGAGUGUGGUAAAACAUGGCAAAACCACUCCAGGUGUAGGAGAACAAAUAAUACUACAAGGGCUAAGGUGGGCUUUGUGAUCAGCAUCCACUCUUACAAGCUCUGGCACCCAUGCUGAUACUAUUUAGGGAAGCUUUUAAUGUUUGAUUUCUGUAUUUUAAUGUUUUGUUGGAAGCCACCCAGAGUGGCUGGGGGAACCCGGCUAGAUGGGCGGGGUAUAAAUAAUAAAUUAUUAUUAUUGCACAGUGUUUCCCAACCUGGUGUUUUCCAGAUAUUGUAGGCUACAGCUUCCAUCUGUCCCAGCCAGUUUUGGAGUUGCAGUCCAAAACACCUGGAAAGCACCAGUUUGGGGAAGGUUGUUAUAGAGGCACAGGAAUCACUGUGGACCUUGUAGCAUUUGGACAUAGCAUACCAAAACCUUGAAACCCUUCUACUUGCAAACAUCCAAAGCACAAAAGGCAUGAUAUAUUGGUUUUGAGGAAGCCUCUAUCCCUUAUAGUGCAGGUAGCCACACUCUGGGAAAGGAAAGGACUGUUUCUAGGUGGUCACUGUUGUGUGUGUACUUUCCCAUUGAAAGUAAGAGAAAGUGGAUUAAUCCGUUCCAGACGAUGAAAAACGCCCCCUAAAACAGCAAUUCAACACAAAUUUUACUGUCUAAUGAGGCCAUUGAUCCAUAAAAUGAAGGCAAUAAUCAAUGUACUGUACUAUAAAAUAAAUCAGACAGUAUUUUAGGUGAAGGGCAGACUCACACACGGUAUUUUUAGGUGAGGGCAGACUCACACACAAACAAAUCCGAAAAUGAAAGUGAAAUUUUCCACUUCACACCCCCCCCCUCCCUGGCUAGGUGCCGCCCAUCUUUCUACAGCUAGGGGUGGGGCAAGGGUAAAGGGCUUUUCGACACAGUCUCACCUGUUUCUUAACAGCGUCACAGCUCUUUGUCUUCGCUAGGUCCAUUCGUCAAUCCAUACCCCACUAAGGUCGCCACGGAUUGGCUCAUUUGAAUCAGUGGGUUUGGUGGGAACCCGUGAGCCUCCAUGGUGGCUGAGGGGGACAUGCUGUGUAUCCAAGCAGCGAUGGAGGCGCUGCAUCGGGCCGCAACCACCGCUCACCGAGGAGGUACGUGCCAGGACCCUAGUUUAUCCUUUGUUUCCAGCAACAUAUAAAGCAAACACUGAGGAACUCAAAUACGGAAGGAAACCAGUAAGCAGUGUUCAUAACAGCAUAAGCUGCAUGGAGAAUAGUUUCAUUAGUGCUGAAGAAGAAUGAGACCACCACACUGAAAAUCACUGCUCACAAGUGACAUGGCACGCAUCCGAGGGAACCAAUCCAGAUUUCUCUCCUGAAAUUCAGGUGAUCUGGGAAGUAAGUCUUGGGAUUUCCCUUGCAACUUUCCUUAUGAGACAAGAACAUCUGAAAUGGAAGAUCCCUUGUGUAUUUGAAACUGCCUGGUUCUGCAGGACAGAAUCCAUUAGAAAGCAGGUUCUUCCCUACAGAAUAUGGGUUCCUUACAGAACCUAAGAUCUGGUGGUCUUGUUACUUUCUCCCCAAGGUGAAGAAGUGGAGGAGUAACCUCUAGUGAAAGCAACAUACAUCCCAACACUCAUUGACAGAAUCCAGAGGAGCAAGUAAUGAGUGAAUGCAAAAUCUAAUGUUGAAACCCUCCCCACCCCCAGUUCUAGAACCUGUUUUGACUACAUAUUUGGUGGUUCCACAGCUAAUUGCUGACAGGUAAAGCAACUCUAUAAAUGUGAUGUUGCAUGUGUCUGUACUGAUGUAUACAGCUAGUGAUGCAAAAGAAAAGGGAAGGAAAACUGGCAAAAAGAAAAACCCCUAAGUACUGUGGGAGCAGAAAGGGAAGAGAAAAGGUGAGUAGCAGACAAAAGUUUCUAAAUUCAUUGAAGGCUGGUACUGACAGGCAUUCAGUGCUACUGUUUGAUUUCUCUCCCCUCCCACGUUGGAGGCAUAUUCUUUAAUGCUGAAGUUCAGACGAGGAGGAGGAAGCAAGAAAGCCUGGGUGUAAGCAGAUGCACUUUAAUACUACCUCAUAUGAAACCUGGGACAAAACUAGUCUGAUAGCCAUGUUUUAUCUAUUGUAACAAUCAAUUUCAACCACAUGCUAUGACAACUGCCAAGUUCUAGCUAUUUCCAUUUAGUCAGUGGAGCAUCUCUGGGUUAGGCAACAGAGGUAUCAAAUGCUGUGCAAGUGGUACUCCACUCACACAACAGGACUUCCUCUUCCUCUGCCCCAAAUCUGCUGCUGAGGAUCUUCCAAUCCUGUGGAGCAGAUUUUGACAGUGUGUUGGGGGAGGGGGGAAAGGAGCUGCAGGAAAGAAAGUGAAGUUCUGUUGCGCAAGCUGGUGCCUGUUGUGUGAGAAAAAUAGCAGCGUUGGAUACAACCUGAGGAGAGGAAUCUAGCAUUCACCUUCAUGCUCUAUAGAACCACAGCCACUUGAAAUUGAUAGGUGACCUUUCAAAAACCAGUUCUUGCUUUAGGAACCAAUAUUUUAUUAUUCUGAGGUUCUAGUGCCUUUGAAUGUGUACAUAUACACAUGUACCAAUUGGAUCGGACCAAAAGUUCAUAAAGUCUAGCAUCCUACUUUCUAGUAGCCAGUUAUGCAUCUGGAAGGCACACAAGCAAAAACAUGGUGACCAUAGCCCUGCUGUGCUAAUUGCCUCUAAGUGGCAUUAAAAGUAGCAUUAAAAAGUAAAAUGUCAUAUUAAAUGGAAAAACAGAAACAAGUAAAAACAGAAAUUUAGAACUAACAGCUCAGUCUUAUUACCAUUUAUGCAGCUGCACCAUCAAUGUAGAUAGUGCUUUAGAGCACCUCAAAAACUAAAGCAAAUUAUGUUGCCCUCUUCCAAUGAAUUUACAAUCUAACUUCUAUUUUCAACAGGCAUAUGCUUAUAAUAGUGAUGGGUGAAUCAAAGUUCUCACUGCAGAUGAAUGGAUCACAAGAUCUUCCCAGAACCAUUGUUACCAUUUUUGAACUUGUUUUGCAGCAUUCUUAUAACCUAGCGCUAGCAUUUUAUUGGAAACAUAACUAAAAGAACAAUAGAGUUGUAGAGUUGUAAGGGACCCUAAGUGUCGUCUAGUCCAAGCUCCUGCGACUUAAGUUUAUGGAAUCCCUUGUGGGAUCCCUGUCCAUACCUACUCAACUGCCACAGUCCCCUUCCAUGAAAACAUUUCUUCUUCCCCAUGGAUUUAACAGUAUAGCAAGGCCAAGUCACCACCCAGCACCAGUGUGAUCACGUUUCAGUCACAACCUUUCACAGGGCCUUGUCCCUUUUGUAAACUGUCAUUAUUAUUAUUAUUAUUAUUAUUAUUAUUAUUAUUAUUAUUAUUAUUAAUUUGUACCCCACCCAUCUGGCUGAGUCUCCCCAGCCACUCUGGGCGGCUUCCAAUCGAAUAUCAAAACAAUACAGCAAUAGCACAAUUACAAAAGUCACAAACAAUACAUAAACCACAUCAAAAAAUACACAACCGAAUAGAAAACAAUUUCGACAUAAAUCAAAAUCUAAAACUAAGAAUCCAUCAUUAAUACAGUUUAAAAUAACAUAGGUAAAAAAUAGCAGGAAUUUAAACAAAAAACAAAACAAAAUGGAGCCCUCUCUGCCCAGCAGCAGCGACGGCAACAGUCCUUUAUAAAGCCCAUCAGGCCCCGCCCUGGGCCAGGUGGUGAGUGGCAGGACUGGGCCUAAAUUCUCCAACACCCCCCACCCCGAGUGUCUUGUCCCAAAGGGCAGGCCCCACAGUCAAACUUGUAAUACCCAAAUCACAAAACCCAUGUAGGACAGGCCCUCUAUCUUCUAUAUAGCACAAACCCAUAAAACCUGAUCAACCAUUUCCCCUACCUUAUAAACCUCACAUUACUCCAUAGAGUACAAUUGUCUGAACUCUGAACAGACCAACUUGUUUCUCCUGCCCUCAGGAGAACUAUAAAAAACUAUAAAACAAAUCCCAGUGAUGGACAAAAGGAGAAUUCCUUCCUACCAACACAACCCACCUCCCACUGCCUUUCCUAUUCACCUGACAGAGUCUCAAACCAUUUUGCUUUGUAAUGAGAAUUGAAAAUGCUCAACUGGAUUUUUUAAAGGCAUACCAAAGAUCAUUAGGAGAGGUGGCUUGCUUGGCCCCUUAACCCAGCACGACGCAAGCAGUACACCUGCCGAACCUUACGUAUUCUUUGCUGUUACUGGAUUCGCCCUUUAACCUACUCAAAGCAGUAAAUGAGAGCAGGGGUGCUUGGCAACCGGCUGGUUUUAUCACAGAUCUACGACUGUUAAUCCCAGUUGGCUAUGAAACCUAAGACAAUGACCCACAUUAGCUCCCUUGUCAGCUGCUGAGGAUAUACAUCACAAAACAUGUCUAUAUGGAUAACUUACUUGCAUGCAUAUCUCCACUUAUUAGUGGUUUGUGCACAUGGGCAACAAGGGUUUUAGUACAGUUAUAACUGUGAACAUCCGCCUUGUCUAGCGUCUGCUUUGGCAAACAUCCGCAGCAAACCCGGAAGUACCAGAACGGGUUACUUCUGGGUUUGCUGCUCACACAUGCGCAGAAGUGCUAAAUUGCGCUUCACGCAUUCACAGAAGCGCAAACCGCUCUGCACACAUGUGCAGAUGCGGCACUUUGCCCUGCAUCCUUUUUGGCUAGUGGUCGGGGCUCUGGAACAGAUCCCGGUCGCAAAACAAGGUAUGACUGUACACUAGAAAUAAGGGGCUGCUCCUUAAAACCUCAGCAGCUUGCUGUGAUUUGUGGAAAUCAAUCAAGGUACAGUGGUACCUCUGGUUACGAACUUAAUCUGUUCCAGAAAUCCGUUUGUAACCCGAAACCACUCGUAACAUGAGGCGCGCUUUCGGUAAUGGAGCCUUCCGCUGCUGCCGCACUGCUGGCGCAUGAUUUCCGCUCACAUCCCGGGGCAAAGGUCGCAACCGGGAGCAUCUACUUCUGGAUUAGCGGAGCUCGUAACCCGCAGCGUUCACAAAGGGGGACGGUACGUAACAUGAGGUUCCACUGUAGUUAAAUAGGACUAAAAGCAAUAAAGCACAUACAUAACAUUUUAUGCAAAAACCACUCCAUACUACUACUAUCAUACUACCACCAGGGUGGCUAUCUAAAGAACUUUUAACUGAGUUAAGAUUUAAAAGGGGUAUGUACAAAAAAUGGGAAAAGGGGGAAAUCACCAGAGAGGAAUUCAAACAUAUAGUGUAAAGACAAAGUCAGAAAAGCUAAAGCACAGAAUGAACUCAGGCUUGCUAGAGAGGUUAAAAGCAACAAAAAGGGCUUUUAUGGGUAUGUCCGUAGCAAAAGGAAGAACAAGGAAACAGUGGGGUCACUUAGGGGAGAAGAUGGUGAAAUGUGAACAGGGGACAGAGAAAGGGCAGAGCUCCUCAAUGCCUUCUUUGCCUCAGUCUUCUCCCAAAAAGAAAACAAUGCCCGACCUGAAGAAUAUGGAGCAGAUGAUUCAGCAGGGGAAACACAGCCCAGAAUAAGUAAGGAGGUAGUACAAGAAUACUUGGCUAGUUUAGAUGUAUUCAAGUCUCCAGGGCCAGAUGAACUACAUCCAAGAGUAUUAAAAGAACUGGCAGAGGUGAUUUCAAAACCACUGGCAAUAAUCUUUGAUAAUUCCUGGAGAACAGGCGAAGUUCCAGCAGACUGGAGGAGGGCAAAUGUUGUCCCUAUUUUCAAAAAGAGGAAAAGAGAGGACCCAAACAAUUACCGCCCAGUCAGCCUGACAUCAAUACCAGGAAAGAUUCUAGAGCAGAUCAUUAAGCAAACGCUCUGUGAGCACCUAGAAAGAAACACUGUGAUCACUAAAAGUCAGCAUGGGUUUCUGAAAAAUAAGUCAUGUCAGACUAAUCUGACAUGACUAAUCUGAUCUCAUUUUUUUUACAGAAUUACAAGCCUGGUAGAUGAAGGGAAUGCUGUGGAUAUAGCCUAUCUUGAUUUCAGCAAGGCCUUUGAAAAGGUGCCCCAUGAUAUUCUUGUAAAGCUGCUGGUAAAAUACGGGCUAGAUAAUGCUACCAUUCAGUGGAUUUGUAACUGGCUGACUGACCGAACCCAAAGGGUGCUCAUCAAUGGCUCCUCCUCAUCCUGGAGAGUAGUGACUAGUGGGGUGCCACAGGGUUUUAUCUUGGGCCCAGUCUUAUUCAACAUCUGUAUCAAUGACUUGGAUGAUGGGCUUGAGGGCAUCCUGAGCAAGUUUGCACUUGACACCAAAUUGGGAGGGGUGGCUAAUACCCCAGAGGACAGGAUCACACUUCAAAAUGACCUUAGCAGAUUAGACAACUGGGCCAAAGCAAACAAGAUGAAUUUUAACAAGGAGAAAUGUAAAGUACUACACUUGGGCAAAAAAAAUGAAAGGCACAAAUACAGGAUGGGAGACACCUGGCUUGAGAGCAGUACAUGUGAAAAGGAUCUAGGAGUCUUGGUAGACCACAAACUUGACACGAGUCAACAGUGUGAUGCAGCAGCUAAAAAAGCCAAUGCAAUUCUGGGCUGCAUCAAUAGGAGUAUAGCAUCUAAAUCAAGGGAAGUAAUAGUACCACUGUGUUCUGCUCUGGUCAGUCCUCACCUGGAGUACUGUGUCCAGUUCUGGGCACCACAGUUCAAGAAGGAUACUGACAAGCUGGAAUGUGUCCAGAAGAGGGCAACCAAAAUGGUCAAAGGCCUGGAAACGAUGCCUUAUGAGGAAAGGCUUAGGGAGCUGGGUAUGUUUAGCCUGGAGAAGAGAAGGUUAAGGGGUGAUAUGAUAGCCAUGUUCAAAUAUAUAAAAGGAUGUCAUAUAGAGGAGGGAGAAAGGUUGUUUUCUGCUGCUCCAGAGAAGCGGACACGGAGCAAUGGAUUCAAACUACAAGAAAGAAGAUUCCACCUAAACAUUAGGAAGAACUUCCUGACAGUAAGAGCUGUCUAGCAGUGGAAUUUGCUACCAAGAAGUGUGGUGGAGUCUCCUUCUUUGGAUGUCUUUAAGCCGAGGCUUGACAGGCAUAUGUCAAGAAUGCUUUGAUGGUGUUUCCUGCUUGGCAGGGAGUUGGACUGGAUGGCCCUUGUGGUCUCUUCCAACUCUAUGAUUCUACUACUACUACUCCCCCCAGAGUCAUGAUACCUUCUUAAAUCAUAGAAUAGAAGAAUAGUAUGGAGAUAACUGACUAUACGUACAAGUUUGUGUGCAAUGCUAGACUAAUGGAUUUCGUUAAUGAACAUGACUAACUUAAAUACAUUACUUUCAAUGGGUUUAUUUCUAAGUAGAUAUUUGUUGGAUAUAACCCAUAUAUUCUCUCCCAGUCAUCACUCUUCCUACCACCUUAUCCAAGAAAUGUGUAUUUGUGACUGGGUGGUAGUUAUAAACCAUGGGCUGUAUAUGACAACAAAGAAGGGGAGGGAGCUAGAGUGAGUGAGUGGUUACCACUGUAGAAAUAUUGUGCCUCCCCAAGCACCACACUCCCGACACAUUCAGCAAAUCUGGUUUUCAGAAACCCUACACUGAUUACUUUGGUCUUCAAGAAAUAUCAAAAGCUAUGAACCCCAUAACUAGUAAAAUGGGGCAGGUACACCUUCAGGGUGGGAGGAAAGGGGGGAAAUGCAGAUCAUGGUUUCUGUUGCUGAGAGACACAAAACAAAUAUUUUGGGCAAAUACUUGACAUCCUUGUUUCACAGAACUUUGUCACAACCCAACAAGCAGCAAAUCAACUGGAUUAGGAGCAGUUGAUAUGUUUCUGCAAGAUAGUGCACCAGCUUUGCUUCUCAGUUCCCUGCAUGAGGUUAUAUAGAUGUUUUCAGGAGACAUAAGAAAUGAAACUGAAACGUGUAUUCAAAGCAGCUCGUUUUGUGGGCCAAAGAAUUCUACAGCCUAUAUAACAGUACACCUUAACCUGCUUCUCCCCUCUCCUUCAUCUCACUGUCAAAUCAUACCCAUUUCAGAGGGUUUUUUAAAAAAAUUAUUCAAAAGUUACAGUACAUUUUAAAUCAAUAUAUCGCCUCCACAGACACCUCUGCGAUGAUGGUGGCAUUAAAAUAAGAACAGGGUAUUUUAAUUUUGGAGGUAGUCUGUCCAAGGAGUAAGCUUGACAAGCAGGUUUCUGUUAAAAGUUCAACAAAGCCCUUAAGGUGUCUGGUCUUGCAAGCAACACAUGUGAAGUUACCAUGGCUCCCCCCACCUCCUUUUUGCAUGCAUUAAGUGAGCCAUAAUCUUGAGCCUUUAUGUUUGGUCUGUUUCCUUGCCUCCACAGGCACACCCCUUUCCUACUGGUGUCCCACAUACCAAUGCUGUUAUGCACUGUCUGCUUUGGCCCUCCUACAAGCCUGGUGGUGCCGUCAGCUCCCUCUUCCCGUCACAGCAGCAGCUUCCUCUCUUUAAAGUUUUAAACAGACCAACUGAAUUAAGCCACUGAUGGAAGCUGGCUAACCACAAGUGUUGUGUUUCUGGCUAGCUCUUUUCUAGGUAAAGUUGGAAAAGUCCCUUUCAAGUAGCAAUCAUCAGAAUCUCAGACACGGGGGCGGCGAUGGCCAGAGCUUUAAAAUGUCCAUGAUUGGUAACUUGUUUGUUUUUUCUUUCUUUCCAAAAAAGGAAGCUGCUAUGUGCGAUGGAAAUGAUCAUUCAUUCUGAGAAAUCUCACACUUCCUUGCUUUCACUGAACUGAGCUUGCUUUAGGGGUCUUUCCAACCUUGGAUUUUAUCUUUAUUGUUAAAAGUCAAAUCUAUCUUCCAGUAUGCAGUCCUGAUCUGUAAUUGAUUGGAGGUGAGUGGGGGGGAUAGCUGCACUUUUACCCUCUUUUAAACCAUGGCAUAUGGGUUCAGCACUCGGGGGCUGGGGGUGGGGAAGCGCACCUUCUUCAAAAGAACUAAAAAACAGCAUGGCAACAGAUGUAUUUCAAAGACAAUGUACUGUUGUGGUGUGGAAAAGGUAACUCUCUUCAUCUCGUCACAUUUCCUCAUAAAAGAAUGCUACAAAGAAGUAAAAUUAAAGACUUUAAACAGUUCCUAGAAUGGUACAGACAUGAAAUGGAGUUUGUAAUUUGUGUUUCAAUGGUUAACACAUGUCGUAUCUAAUAGAGCCUUGUGACUACUACUUACAUGCAAUUGCCACAUCCUACACCUGCAGUAACAAUUGUGGUGGACAUACUAGCAGGAUAAUUUUAUUUUCUACAGUGAUAAAUAUCGGAGUGCUGGAAAAUGCAAUAUCCCUUUCUGGAGGAAAGGCACCUGAACUCCUUGCAAUAUAUGAAUAGCAGUAUUUAUUACCGGUACAUUCUGCAUGGAUCAGUUGGGUGCAAUGGCUACGAGAAAAAUAUCCAAGAGUUAUUGUUUGUACUACUUUUUUAAAAGAUAGAGAAACCUCCACGGAAUAAUAGCCAGGUCUGAGAUCCAUCUCCCAGUUUUUAAUUUUCAUUCUCAGAAUCUUACUAACAGCGCACAGUCAUUAUGUUGAAAGAAUGACUAUCCCUAACUCAGGGGUGUAUCUAAAAGGAUCCUGAGACAGUUCAGCCUACUGCCAUGACUGGGAAAGACCAGUUGAAGCCAUUUCACAUUAUGCUUAUAGCCAAGCUGUGAAUUGUAGAUGCAGUCUUGUAAGAACUGGAAAGAAAUUCAACAUUUGUUUGAAAAUCAAUGCAUGUGUAACAUGAGAAUUAUGGCCAACACUUCUGUAUAUGAAAAAGGCAAAUGAACUCUGGAGUGGGUAGAGAGUCUUGCUGUUGCCAUUUAAAAAUAACAGAUGGAGAAGCUGUGGUCCUCUAGUUGUAGGACUCCAGGUCCCAUCAUCCCAGUUCAUUGGCCAUACUGGCUGGGGACUUAAGGGGUCUUGGGAGUCCAACAUUUGGAGAGCCAUAGGUUCCACAUCUCUAAAAGAAAAUGUAGAGCGAAAGUGAGUACACCUGCAUCUGCUGGUGAUUUUCUCCUUAGGCCUUUCACAAACGCAGAAAGCUAGCCAGUUGAUUCCAAUGCUUUGAGUUUAGUUUAGUUCUAAUAUUAAGCAACUUAAACCACACCCAACACCACAUGCCAACCUGCAUGCAGAGAAGGAGACAAGGCAAUUCAACAGACCACCGAUCUUGGUGGAAACUUCUCUAGGUAGCAGCCCUUCGCUAUUAGGAAAUGAGUUCUUCUCAGUAAGGCACCACUCCACCCAGAGGCCAAGCAAGACAAAUACUUGAGAGCUCAUUCUUUCUUUCUUAAUUUAAAAUAGUUCAAUGGCUGCAGGGAAAUUCACAGCUCACAGCUGUUUCCCAUGAUGAAGUAAUUUUCAUUACGAGCAAACCUUGCCCAGCUUUUACAUAACCAAUGAUGAAGAGCUGCUGAGGGAUUGCCCAAAGGAGGUUCCCUUUUGUGUUUCAUACUAUGACAGUGCUGGCCCUUCCGCUAACCUAGUUCUUGUUUGGUACUGUAGGGAUUACAUAAGUAAACCAGGACACAUUAUAUCAUGUGCAGCUGGGCUGGAAUUAAUUGCCUGAUCUAGCACAAACACAUAACAGGGAUUGUCUAUAACCUGCCCAUGGUAAUGAAUUUCACCCUAAAAUUAUUGUUCAAAGGAUAAAGGGGGUAGUGACAGAGGUGUUCUCUGAGUAGAAGGGCUAAGCAGGGAAUGCAGAGCACAGCAUCUAGGCUGGGUACACAGAAUAUGGCAGCACACAAGAUGGGCUAAGAGCCAAGCCAAUGUAUGUUGCAAGAAUUUUGGACUGGGGAAGCUGUGAAUGAAAGAUGCAGUUUUAUUAAAGAGAAAGAAAAAUGGAAGCAAAAUUAAUAUUCUUGAGUAGGGAUGGAUCUGUCAAUUUCAGUUCUCAGUUCCUUAUUUCCCCAAUCUUAAGUCUAUUCUCUACAUUUCUACAGCAGUUUUGUGAUUAAAAUUAAAAUAAUAAUAAAAAACUCAUGAAAAUUAUUCAGCAUUUUAGUAAGAAUUUCUCCUAAUAAACACAUUUCAUACUGAGUACUCAUGCACAUAUUUUUUGCAAGUGAUUCACCCUAGUAUUUGUAUGUUAUUUUCACCAAUAUAAUUGCUUUUAUGCACAUUUUCCCCUAAUGCAUGCAUUUUGGUUGGAGAACUGCACUGCAAAAUUUGGAUAAGUGUGAAUUUUGAGGUACAGCUAUAUUUUGUUUCUCACACUGUUUUGAAAAGUGUGAUUUGGUGGAAGCACCUUUAAAUGCAAGCCAGAUUGAGGUCCCCCCCUCUACUCUUGAGAAUUUCAAACAUUAUAUGAAAUUUCUGUCCCCUGUUAUUAUUUUGGGACACAAACAUUUCAUAUAAACCAUGAACCUGAAUUUCUGCACUCACAGUCUCCUGGACCUCAGCUUCUAUGAAUACAAUUUUUUAGUACUCCUUUUUGCAAAAAUAAUAAUAAUCUGCAAAUUGCACAGAAACAAGAGACUUCCAGUAUUUCAAGAACUUGAGAGUUCUUAACUUACUACUCUGUCACAACUUCUAGUUGCUGCCCUACUUAUAAAAACCCUUUGCACUUGCUUCUUCAUCCCACUAUGACUGGAGUGAUCAUGCCUACAAGGGAUGGUUCCGGGGCACAGCUUUCAGCUAGUUAGCACAAGCAAAGCUUGCCAGGGUUACCAGGAUAAUGUCUAUGAUUUUUCAUUUCCUCACAGACAUGUUGGCAGCUUGGGCUUGUACUGAAUGGCUGAUGGAAGGCCCCAAACACCUGCUCUCUAUGGGAAUGUUCAGUUCAGGGAGACUUAGAAAAGAAGUUUGCCCAAAAUGUGAUCAUCACCAAAUUCUAGCAACUACUGUACUUCAUACCCACAUUUCAGAAAGCAGCAGAUUUCCAGAGGGGAAAGCCACAUUAGUCUCUUGCUGUACAAACAGCAGUGUGAGCAACACUAUUUAUUUUGACAGAAGUAUUCAUGGACUAAGUAAAACAAAUUUGUUUAUAAUCCAAAGAAUGUAAUUCUAUAUACCACCCCCUGCAUUUAUUUUUGUCAAUGAAAUGCAACCUGUUUCUGAACACAACACUCUUUACAAGAUCCAAACAAUUUACAAGAAUGGACAAUUCCACACAAAAUGUGAAACUUCAGUGUUGCCAUGAAUGUCAGCUUCUCUAACCUUGUCUCUCUGGACUAAGAUCCUGAAAUUGGCAGGAAUGCCCCAUCCUUCCUAUUACAGAAUCUCCCCUCUCUCAUGCCAAGGGACAGGGUACCCUUCAGAGUGGGGCAUGAGAGAUUACUACCGAAUGGGGAAACCAUCAAUCCCGCCCAUGUACAUGCACAUAUUUUGAUCCUGGCCAUUGAACUCCCUUUCUGUCUAGAAGUUACACACUUUUGUAUAGAUCAUGCACAGGCACCAACCAUAUUGAGAAAGGGGUUCAUGCACAGGGUUUCUGGCUAAAUAAACAGAUGGCAAUAAUAAAGGGGUUAAAACUGAGUCAACACACAGGACGUGGAGGGAGGCACACUGGAUGAGAGCAACAAAUGCACUUGAACAUAACAGAUAACAAUCCAGGUAAACAGAAUAGAUAACUAAUAGAUUAGCAAGAGGGUGAGGCAACUGAACACCUGCCCUCAGUUUACACUGAACACCUCAGUUUACACUGAGGCAAAGCCACAGUUAUCAGUCUAACGCUGGUGUGCUCCCUUUAAAUCUAGUGCAUUAGCUCACUUUAGUGUUCCAUAAUAAGCCACUCACUGGCGGAAAUUAUUAGUGUUCCUAUUACAGCAUGUAAAGGCUGCAAUCCUUGUUCCACUAAUCCUCAUGACAACCAUAGGAAGGUGGUAAUUAAUGUUCCCAUUUGACGGUUAAAAAGCAGCCAUUAGUAUGGCCAGCUUCAGCCAAGGCAAAGCAACAAGUUUAUUAUAUCUACUUUUUAUCAGGCUGCAGGGCAGAGGGAGAGAAGAGGAGCCAUGGAAUUCCAUCAUAUGUGUGGAAAAACUGGCUGUUUUUGCCCCCCCCCAAACUUGGGAUCCUAGCUAGUUGUUGUAAGAAGUGUAAGCUUAAGAAUUAGUCCCUGAGCUUGUUUCCUUUGUCCUUCCUCCGUUCCUUCUUCCUUGUGUGUCAGAUUGUAAGCCUAAGAGCAGAGACUUGUCUUACUAACAGUCUUUGCAAGACACGGUGGGAGUUGGCAAAACUGCUUUAAAUAAGUACAGUGGUGUCUCGAUUUACGAAUUUGAUCUGU
This is a non-coding RNA of Zootoca vivipara (common lizard), 14670 nucleotides long. NCBI's taxonomy places the organism in Eukaryota, Metazoa, Chordata, Lepidosauria, Squamata, Lacertidae. The record is from RefSeq and is a predicted model, not a curated record.